Molecule: ribosomal RNA, 118 nt
Filed under: Diaphorina citri (Asian citrus psyllid)
Lineage: Eukaryota; Metazoa; Arthropoda; Insecta; Hemiptera; Psyllidae
Source: RNAcentral
GCCAGCGGCGACAGCAAGUUGAAUGCACCAAUUCCCUUUGGAUCACUGAAGUUAAACAACGUUGCGCGUGGUUAAUUUCCGGAUGGGUGCCCGUCUGGGCAAUCGCAUGCUGCUGGUU